Molecule: ribosomal RNA, 207 nt
Filed under: uncultured bacterium
Lineage: Bacteria
Description: partial 16S ribosomal RNA
Rfam family: Bacterial small subunit ribosomal RNA
Source: RNAcentral
CGCGUAGGCGGCGUGACAAGUCACUUGUGAAAUCUCCGGGCUUAACUCGGAACGGCCAAGUGAAACUGUCAUGCUGGAGUGCAGAAGGGGCAAUCGGAAUUCUUGGUGUAGCGGUGAAAUGCGUAGAUAUCAAGAGGAACACCUGAGGUGAAGACGGGUUGCUGGGCUGACACUGACGCUGAGGCGCGAAAGCCAGGGGAGCAAACG